Molecule: unclassified non-coding RNA, 465 nt
Filed under: Hevea brasiliensis (rubber tree)
Lineage: Eukaryota; Viridiplantae; Streptophyta; Magnoliopsida; Malpighiales; Euphorbiaceae
Source: RNAcentral
ACGAAGUGUUGGGGAUCCCAGUGAAUGCAAGUGGCCAUGAGAUUAAGGUAGCUUACAGGAAACUAGCAAGAACUUGGCAUCCUGAUGUUGUGUCCGUAAAUCAGAAGGAUAUGUCAGCGAACGAGUUCAUGAAAAUCCAUGCGGCUUAUUCGACCUUGUCCGACCCUGAUAAGCGCGCUAAUUAUGACAAGGAUCUUCAUCGGCAUCGCCAGCGGCCAUUUAGGUUCUCUUCUCUCAAUUCUGCAACAAUGGCAGCUGCUUCUGGUUAUGGUUAUUCUGGUAGAAAUUGGGAGACUGACCAGUGCUGGUAGUAAUUUUUCUUUUUUAGAUUUCUUCAUUUUUUUCUCGUCGAAAUGUAUUUAGCUGAAAAGGGUUGUCGAUUCUGAUGCUCUGUUUUACAUAUUCUCUGCACUAGAUUAAAACAGAGUAGAAGACAAGAGAAAUGACAUCUGUAUGAACGUGGAU